This 433-nucleotide ribosomal RNA is filed under the name uncultured bacterium. RNAcentral's name for it is "partial 16S ribosomal RNA". It matches the Rfam family "Bacterial small subunit ribosomal RNA", at positions 29 to 507 of the family's 1533-position model. The record is from RNAcentral.
AACGAACGCUGGCGGCAUGCCUAACACAUGCAAGUCGAACGAACCCUUCGGGGUUAGUGGCGCACGGGUGCGUAACGCGUGGGAAUCUGCCCUUUGCUUCGGAAUAACUCAGGGAAACUUGUGCUAAUACCGGAUGAUGUCUUCGGACCAAAGAUUUAUCGGCAAGGGAUGAGCCCGCGUAGGAUUGGGUAGUUGGUGGGGUAAAGGCCUACCAAGCCGACGAUCCUUAGCUGGUCUGAGAGGAUGAUCAGCCACACUGGGACUGAGACACGGCCCAGACUCCUACGGGAGGCAGCAGUGGGGAAUAUUGGACAAUGGGCGCAAGCCUGAUCCAGCAAUGCCGCGUGAGUGAUGAAGGCCCUCGGGUCGUAAAGCUCUUUUACCAGGGAUGAUAAUGACAGUACCUGGAGAAUAAGCUCCGGCUAACUCCGUG